GACGAACGCUGGCGGCGUGCUUAACACAUGCAAGUCGAACGAUGAAGCCUAGCUUGCUAGGUGGAUAGUGGCGAACGGGUGAGUAAUACGUGAGUGACCUACCUUUGACUCUGGGAUAAGCCUGGGAAACUGGGUCUAAUACCGGAUAGACCAAUCUCCGCAUGGGGUGUGGUGGAAAGCGUUAUGGAGUGGUUUUAGAUGGGCUCACGGCCUAUCAGCUGUUGGUGAGGUAAUGGCUUACCAAGGCGACGACGGGUAGCCGGCCUGAGAGGGUGACCGGCCACACUGGGACUGAGACACGGCCCAGACUCCUACGGGAGGCAGCAGUGGGGAAUAUUGCACAAUGGGCGCAAGCCUGAUGCAGCGACGCCGCGUGAGGGAUGACGGCCUUCGGGUUGUAAACCUCUGUUAGCAUCGAAGAGCGAAAGUGAUGUAGGUCAGAGAA
This 445-nucleotide ribosomal RNA is filed under the name Rothia dentocariosa. RNAcentral's name for it is "bacterial SSU rRNA". It matches the Rfam family "Bacterial small subunit ribosomal RNA", at positions 28 to 473 of the family's 1533-position model. The record is from RNAcentral. Lineage: Bacteria; Bacillati; Actinomycetota; Actinomycetes; Micrococcales; Micrococcaceae.